GUGGGGAAUCUUGCGCAAUGGGCGAAAGCCUGACGCAGCCAUGCCGCGUGGAUGAUGAAGGUCUUAGGAUUGUAAAAUCCUUUCACCGGUGAAGAUAAUGACUGUAGCCGGAGAAGAAGCCCCGGCUAACUUCGUGCCAGCAGCCGCGGUAAUACGACGGGGGCUAGCGUUGCUCGGAUUUACUGGGCGUAAAGGGCGCGUAGGCGGACAUUUAAGUCAGGGGUGAAAUCCCGGGGCUCAACCUCGGAACUGCCUUUGAUACUGGGUGUCUUGAGUAUGAGAGAGGUGUGUGGAACUCCGAGUGUAGAGGUGAAAUUCGUAGAUAUUCGGAAGAACACCAGUGGCGAAGGCGACACACUGGCUCAUUACUGACGCUGAGGCGCGAAAGCGUGGGGAGCAAACAGGAUUAGAAACCCGGGUAGUCC
Molecule: ribosomal RNA, 425 nt
Filed under: uncultured bacterium
Lineage: Bacteria
Description: partial 16S ribosomal RNA
Rfam family: Bacterial small subunit ribosomal RNA
Source: RNAcentral